UGUCCUGUGGUGUAAUUGGCAACACGUCUGACUCUGGAUCAGAAGAGUUCAGGUUCGAAACCUGACAGGACAACCU
RNAcentral lists this transfer RNA (76 nucleotides) under Bacteroidota bacterium. RNAcentral describes it as "Bacteroidetes bacterium (freshwater sediment metagenome) tRNA-Gln". It matches the Rfam family "tRNA". Rfam says of the family: Transfer RNA (tRNA) molecules are approximately 80 nucleotides in length. Lineage: Bacteria; Pseudomonadati; Bacteroidota. The record is from RNAcentral.